AUGCUCUUAUUUCUCUUUCUUCACUUGUUUUUUGAUAGUUUGUUUUUUUUUAGAUAUCACAAGCUGUGCUGCCCUGCCUGGGAAGCUGGACACACUUGGAUUGAGAUCUUUAAUGGACUGUUGGUUCAAGUGGCGGUUGCUGAUGGACGAAGAGAAAUAAAGGAGGGGGGGGGCUGGAAAAAAGAAAAGAGGAGAAGGACAGGUCAGAGGAAGGGAGAUGUAUUGCUGAGUAGCCAUGACCUUCAGCCGUGAUUAGGGACAAUUAUGUCUUCAACAGCAGCUUGAACCAUAAAGCUACUCACACAGAAAGAUAGAGGGGGAACAGACAUGAGGAUUUACCAAGGUGUGGUCAUCAGCAGAUGUCCAUAAAAUGACUGUAAAUGCAUUAUUUGAUGCCUUUUUUCACCCCCACAUCUGUAUUUAACACAGCAGCAACGAGAUGGAGGGCUUGUUGUGUGGGGAUGGUGGUGGUGGUGGUGGGGGGGGAGAGAGAAAUGAUUAAUAUUAAUUCAAGGGCUGAUUGAAGGCAACACUCGAGUGAAGUGGCUCAUGAUGAUGUCUCCUGAGCAACUCCCACGCACUGCUCCCGCCAUGAGUGGAAAGAGGAGAGAGGAGAAGAGAGGAAAGGAGACAGGAAAGGCAGGAAAGAGACGAUGCCAGAUGUGACAGCGAGAGGAAGAUGUGAGAUGAGCCACCAUCCAACAUCUCCCCACCCACUCUUCCAUCACCAUGUUAUGGAUUUAAAAAAAAAUUCCACAAGCAAAACAGUGUUCACCACACAAAGAACUUUUGGAUGGGUUAGUUCAAGUUUUUUUUAAUUAGCAUGUGCUAGUAAAUUAAGAAGUUGCUUUCAUUGCCUUGGCAUUUAGGGAUUGGCAUUAGCAUUAGCAGACAAAACCAAAGACAUUAAGUUAUUAUUUUGUUUUGUUUUUUAAAUAAUAUAUUCUCUGUGGUAGAAGUAGUCGUUGUAUGUUUAAUUAGCACAUUCAGAAGUAUGAAAGCUUUUUCAGAGGUCCAAACAAGUAGUGUGUGGUACAGUAACACACAGUUUCUAAACUUUGGAAGCUCACAAUAGUAAUCUUUCAAAAUAAAUUACCAGAACUCUGUGUAUGUGUAUCUGACUGGCCAGUGCAGUGAGUUGGCAGCAAUGUUGUGUUGUGCUGCGCCAGAACUUUUUCUUUUUCUUGAUCGCUCUGUCAGAUCUUUUUGGAUCUGGAUCCUAUAAAAACAGAAAAAUGUUUGCUAAGACCUUUCUUUUUUCUGCUGUCUUUAUUUCUUGCUUUCUGUUGGAAGGCUGUUUUUGGCCUCAGUGCCUCAUCGAUCUAAGGCUAGUGAAGGUGGUGAAAUGUGAAGUUUAGCUUAGUGUUUAGGCUGUAUACGCCCUUGGCCUCAGAUUCUAUUCCCCUUGUGUCUUCCUCAAUUUCCUGCUUUCAUCCGCGGUCAAAAAAGGCUUAAAAUGCUAAAGGUAAAUAAAAUUGUUUUCCUUUAUUU
Molecule: long non-coding RNA, 1491 nt
Filed under: Oreochromis niloticus (Nile tilapia)
Lineage: Eukaryota; Metazoa; Chordata; Actinopteri; Cichliformes; Cichlidae
Description: lncRNA (ENSONIG00000032128.1)
Source: RNAcentral